This is a long non-coding RNA of Ctenopharyngodon idella (grass carp), 1114 nucleotides long. RefSeq lists it as uncharacterized. The record is from RefSeq and is a predicted model, not a curated record. Lineage: Eukaryota; Metazoa; Chordata; Actinopteri; Cypriniformes; Xenocyprididae. The transcript is spliced from 3 exons.
GAGAUCUGUUGCGCGCAUCUCAGGCAUUGCGCUGAACAAUCUGCCUGACUCAAGGUUGGCAAGCUCAGCAUCAACACCAAAAUAUACCACUCCAUAAUUUACAGGGAUUCCUGUGGUACGAGAGAAGAACACAUAAAAGAAGUGCAGGCUUUAAGUACACUAUCUUCCUCACAGGAUCCACUUUAUCUUCUCUGCUGGGAGGUUUUUCAAGAAUUCAUCACUGAUGUUUGAGGUAAUACCUGAGACUCAAAGCUGGAACAUUCUUCCACACAAUCCUGGAGGAGGCGGUCCGGAUAGAAGUGUGUUGUGUACCGGGUCUGUUCGACAUCUCUUCUCUGAUGACAAGGGCGGGGCAACCUGUCACUCACAUGAGAUCCACCAAUAGCAAACCACAACCAUCCAAUCAAUUUCCCAUGGACAAAAUCAAGCCCCGCCCUACAUUUGUUCUUGUUUGAGAAGCAGUUUUACUCGGAUAUACAUCACAAUAGAGAAGAAAAGACUGUUCCUGUUUCAUUCCAAAGAGCAGCAACAGUAUUAGAGAUGCUGCAAAGAAAGGCUGGAUAUUUGCAAAAUAAAACAUGCAGUCAUUUUCACAGCUCAUUCCAAUACAUUAAUAGAAGAAUUGGGUGUGCAAAGAGGUAAAAUGAAGCAAAGGACAAACUUUUGACGCAAAGAGCUCCUGAUAAACGUGCUGACAGCUUUAUCGGCUUGUCCUUUAGUCCUUAAACUUAUCCUUCAGUGAGCAUGCCCAUGCAGUAACAUUGAAAAAAAUCAUAAAUAUAAAGAUGUUUGACGUGUUUCUGUGUGAGCGAGAGUCUGAAUAGCUCUUAUUUUCACGCUUGGAAUUAGUAGCCUACAGUAGAAAAUGACCUUGGUCUCCAAAGAUACGGCAGAAAAAAAAAAUCAAGCGUGUUAGUGACUAAGACGGAUUGACUUCCAAGUCAUCUAAUCAGAACUUGAAACAGAGAUUCAAAGCCUCUGCUUCUGACUGAUCUGCUUGGUCUCACUAAAUAUCAUUCAGCGCUGGAGAAAAUAUUCAGAUAUAUAUUACACUGGGAAAAAAUAUAUUUGCUGUAUAUUCAAUACUUAAUUAAAAUGAGCUUAAGCAACUCAA